This 243-nucleotide unclassified non-coding RNA is filed under the name Hevea brasiliensis (rubber tree). Lineage: Eukaryota; Viridiplantae; Streptophyta; Magnoliopsida; Malpighiales; Euphorbiaceae. The record is from RNAcentral.
AUUAAUAUAAAAAAGGCUAGAGCCCAAAUACAUAAGCAGUCCUAGGUAAAAAGCAAAACAGAGCUGAUUAAAAUUAAAUCUCUGUCCAAAAGACCCAAGGAAAACCCUAAUGGAGAGAGUCCUAGACUCGGCAUCCAUAAUCCGGUUCAAGAGAAACGACACACCGCUUGCAACCCAGUGGGGGAACCUCGACAAAAUUGCAGCACACCCGUGGGAAGGUAAAAGACUAAUUGAAGCACUCCA